UACGUAAGGUCCGAGCGUUGUCCGGAAUCAUUGGGCGUAAAGGGUACGUAGGCGGAUAAGCAAGUUAGAAGUUAAAUCCUAUAGCUCAACUAUAGCAAGCUUUUAAAACUGCUCAUCUUGAGGUAUGGAAGGGAAAGUGGAAUUCCUAGUGUAGCGGUGAAAUGCGCAGAUAUUAGGAGGAAUACCGGUGGCGAAGGCGACUUUCUGGCCAUAAACUGACGCUGAGGUACGAAAGCGUGGGUAGCAAACA
RNAcentral lists this ribosomal RNA (250 nucleotides) under uncultured bacterium. RNAcentral's name for it is "partial 16S ribosomal RNA". It matches the Rfam family "Bacterial small subunit ribosomal RNA", at positions 524 to 774 of the family's 1533-position model. The record is from RNAcentral.